Molecule: ribosomal RNA, 339 nt
Filed under: Triticum aestivum (bread wheat)
Lineage: Eukaryota; Viridiplantae; Streptophyta; Magnoliopsida; Poales; Poaceae
Description: partial small subunit ribosomal RNA
Source: RNAcentral
AUUGAUUUGUUGCCUCUUCCAUCUUCGGAGAAGGUUAAUUUUGAUGCUAAACAACGUGCUGAAUUGAUUUUAAAAAUGCAUGAGUUAACUAAGAAAAACAUUGAGCGUAUGAAUGCUAAAUAUAAACUUGCUGGAGAUAAGGGUAGAAAACAUGUUGUGUUUGCACCUGGAGAUCUUGUUUGGUUACAUUUGCGUAAGGAUAGAUUUCCUGAUUUGCGCAAAUCAAAGCUAAUGCCACGUGCUGAUGGUCCCUUUAAGGUGUUAGAGAAAAUAAAUGAUAAUGCAUAUAAACUUGAGCUGCCUGCAGAUUUUGGGGUUAGUCCCACUUUUAACAUUGCA